Long non-coding RNA from Oncorhynchus tshawytscha (Chinook salmon), 1039 nucleotides. The record is from Ensembl. Lineage: Eukaryota; Metazoa; Chordata; Actinopteri; Salmoniformes; Salmonidae.
CCUUGCUGUCACCCUGCUGUCACCCUGCUGUCACCCUGCUGUCACCCUGCUGUCACCUUGCUGUCACCCUGUUGUCACCCUGCUGUCACCUUGUUGUCACCCUGCUGUCACCUUGCUGUCACCCUGCUGUCACCCUGCUGUCACAAGGAAGCUUUGAAAUCCUCUUCAGUCCCUUUCACAGAAUCUCAUGUGGUCUGAGAUCCUCUAUCUAGGGUGGUUUCUGUGGUCUGAGAUCCUCUAUCUAGGGUGGUUUCUGUGGUCUAGGGUGGUUUCUGUGGUCUAGGGUGGUUUCUGUGGUCUAGGGUGGUUUCUGUGGUCUAGGGUGGUUUCUGUGGUCUAGGGUGGUUUCUGUGGUCUAGGGUGGUUUCUGUGGUCUAGGGUAGUUUCUGUGGUCUAGGUUGGUUUCUGUGGUCUAGGUUGGUUUCUGUGGUCUAGGGUGGUUUCUGUGGUCUAGGGUGGUUUCUGUGGUCUAGGGUAGUUUCUGUGGUCUAGGGUAGUUUCUGUGGUCUGGGGUGGUUUCUGUGGUCUAGGUUGGUUUCUGUGGUCUAGGGCGGUUUCUGUGGACCCUGCCAUCAUUCAGAGUUUCAAUCAGAACAUGAUCUAGAGACUGAAUCUGGAGACUGAAUCUGGAGACUGAAUCUGGAGACUGAAUCUAGAGACUUGAAUCUAGAGACUUGAAUCUAGAGACUUGAAUCUAGAGACUUGAAUCUAGAGACUUGAAUCUAGAGACUUGAAUCUAGAGACUUGAAUCUAGUGACUUGAAUCUAGAGACUUGAAUCUAGUGACUGGAUCUGGAGACUGCCACCUACUUGCUUACUGUCUACGUGUGUAUCUACAUGCCUGACUUGUUGUGUGUUUCGGUGACUAAUGACUGUUUCAUGUAAAUAUUAAAUAUAUACAUCACACUCCUCUUAACCUGUUUAGUCCAAUGGUUUUAGAUUAUACAAGUCAAUCAAUGACCAUGUGGUUUCUGGGUGAUGUCUUCUUAUAGAUACAGGUCUCUACCUAGCCAUAGGGUCAAGAGUAGUGCACUAUGUAG